GAUGAACGCUGGCGGCGUGCUUAACACAUGCAAGUUGAACGAAGCACUUUAUUUGAUUUCCUUCGGGACUGAUUAUUUUGUGACUGAGUGGCGGACGGGUGAGUAACGCGUGGGUAACCUGCCUUGUACAGGGGGAUAACAGUUGGAAACGGCUGCUAAUACCGCAUAAGCGCACGGCAUCGCAUGAUGCAGUGUGAAAAACUCCGGUGGUAUAAGAUGGACCCGCGUUGGAUUAGCUAGUUGGUGAGGUAACGGCCCACCAAGGCGACGAUCCAUAGCCGACCUGAGAGGGUGACCGGCCACAUUGGGACUGAGACACGGCCCAAACUCCUACGGGAGGCAGCAGUGGGGAAUAUUGCACAAUGGGCGAAAGCCUGAUGCAGCGACGCCGCGUGAGCGAAGAAGUAUUUCGGUAUGUAAAGCUCUAUCAGCAGGGAAGAUAAUGACGGUACCUGACUAAGAAGCACCGGCUAAAUACGUG
RNAcentral lists this ribosomal RNA (481 nucleotides) under uncultured bacterium. RNAcentral describes it as "partial 16S ribosomal RNA". It matches the Rfam family "Bacterial small subunit ribosomal RNA", at positions 28 to 507 of the family's 1533-position model. The record is from RNAcentral.